CCUACGUGUGGCAGCAGUGAGGAAUAUUGGUCAAUGGGCGGAAGCCUGAACCAGCCAAGUAGCGUGCAGGAUGACGGCCCUACGGGUUGUAAACUGCUUUUAUACGGGAAUAACGCGCCUUACGUGUAGGGCUUUGCAUGUACCGUAUGAAUAAGGACCGGCUAAUUCCGUGCCAGCAGCCGCGGUAUUACGGAAGGUCCGGGCGUUAUCCGGAUUUAUUGGGUUUAAGGGGAGCGUAGGCCGCAUGUCAAGCGUGCUGUGAAAUGUCCGGGCUCAACCCGGGCCUUGCAGCGCGAACUGGCGGGCUGGAGUCCGCGGAAAGCAGGCGGAAUUCGUGGUGUAGCGGUGAAAUGCUUAGAUAUGACGAAGAACCCCGAUUGCGAAGGCAGCUUGCUGCAGCGGAACUGACGCUGAUGCUCGAAAGCGCGGGUAUCGAACAGGAUUAGAUACCCGAGUAGUC
RNAcentral lists this ribosomal RNA (460 nucleotides) under uncultured bacterium. Its description in RNAcentral is "partial 16S ribosomal RNA". It matches the Rfam family "Bacterial small subunit ribosomal RNA", at positions 338 to 795 of the family's 1533-position model. The record is from RNAcentral.